Molecule: ribosomal RNA, 429 nt
Filed under: Acidobacteriota bacterium
Lineage: Bacteria; Pseudomonadati; Acidobacteriota
Description: Acidobacteria bacterium partial 16S ribosomal RNA
Rfam family: Bacterial small subunit ribosomal RNA
Source: RNAcentral
CGGGGAAUUUUGGACAAUGGGGGAAACCCUGAUCCAGCCAUCCCGCGUGUGCGAUGAAGGCCUUCGGGUUGUAAAGCACUUUUGGCAGGAAAGAAACGUCAUGGGUUAAUACCCCGUGAAACUGACGGUACCUGCAGAAUAAGCACCGGCUAACUACGUGCCAGCAGCCGCGGUAAUACGUAGGGUGCAAGCGUUAAUCGGAAUUACUGGGCGUAAAGCGUGCGCAGGCGGUUCGGAAAGAAAGAUGUGAAAUCCCAGAGCUCAACUUUGGAACUGCAUUUUUAGCUACCGAGCUAGAGUGUGUCAGAGGGGGGUGGUAUUCCGCGUGUAGCAGUGAAAUGCGUAGAUAUGCGGAGGAACACCGAUGGCGAAGGCAGCCUCCUGGGAUAACACUGACGCUCAUGCACGAAAGCGUGGGGAGCAAACAGG